UCUACCAAAGGAUAGUAGU
RNAcentral lists this transfer RNA (19 nucleotides) under Hydrophis zweifeli (Zweifel's beaked seasnake). RNAcentral's name for it is "partial tRNA-Leu". Lineage: Eukaryota; Metazoa; Chordata; Lepidosauria; Squamata; Elapidae. RNAcentral also lists the same sequence under 1 other name. The record is from RNAcentral.